UUGAAAUUAAGCUUCUCUUUGAUUCCUGACUCUCCUGUCUCUAGCCUGCUCUGUUUGGUUCCAGCCAUCCAUAGAUUAGAGGCUGGUUUAAUCUGAUUGACAUUGAUAGGUGUCAGAAGUGGUAUUGGAUGUGGAACUGGCAUCGUUGGACUCUGGCACCAGUGGGAACAGACUAGGCAGCACCAGAGAUGUAUUUCUUCAGAGUCCGACCCCCAUUGUCUAGUGAGUGCUGUGUCCUUCUCCCUGCUCCAAUGCCAGGGCUUUCGCCUUGGUUGAGCUCGCUGUUCUUUGUGAGAAAAACUCCAGGGCUCCUCUAGUGACCUAGUUUGCCUUGGAUCACUCUGAUCAUCUGAAGAAAGCCCCUGCUCCUGAGUGGAUGGCAGAAUCCUCCAGAGACUUCGAGAUUCAUCUAGUAUGGACCUAGAAGCAGCUGACAUCCAGAUGUCCCAAGAUUCUGGAUGAGGGCUGAGUAUAGUGCCCUAGUUUUUUCUCCUCUUCUCUUUCCUUAUGUGCCUAACCCCCAAGGCUCCAAUUCAAACACGUGCUGGCAUUUUCUCCCUCUACAUUCUCCCUCCCCCAACUGCCCAUUGCUGCUUGCAAGCAAACAAUGGCUAGCAAUGAUACCUGGGACACACUUAACUGACCCCCUGGGAUAAAAUGCUUGUCCUAGCCCAACUGGCCUCUUGUGGCAUCUUGGUUUAUAUCAGCCUCUCCUUUAUUGGCCACAAGGGGAGGGGUUCUUUCAGACCCCCUCUAUUUGGCCAAAAGGGGGAAAUGUCAAGAUAUUAGGAGACACUUUGUUUUCCAAUACCUAAGGCCCAACAAGCAAGUUGUUCUCUGUGCUUGGCCUAACAACAAUACUUUAUGCUCACCCUCUGGAUGAUCUCACCCUCUGGCAAAAACAUAUUGCUUUGACCAAUAACAGGUAUUAUCUGAGCUUGGACAAGUACCCAUGUUCCAGCCAUGAAGCCCUGCUAUGACUCAAAGUUGUAGCAUUGUUGCUGUUAUCUCUCAUUGUUAGGACUACAGCUCACUGUGUAGCCAUUAGUAUAAGUAUUGAGAUCUCCCCGCAGUGCCUCGAAUCCCUCCAUUAGGGAUGGGGCCUUGGCACGUGUGUCUAAUCUCCCUUCUUGCUUGCAAGCUAUUUUGAAAUUAAACUUGUCUUUGAUUCCUGA
Phascolarctos cinereus (koala) is the source of this 1175-nucleotide non-coding RNA. Lineage: Eukaryota; Metazoa; Chordata; Mammalia; Diprotodontia; Phascolarctidae. The record is from RefSeq and is a predicted model, not a curated record.